RNAcentral lists this ribosomal RNA (253 nucleotides) under uncultured bacterium. Its description in RNAcentral is "partial 16S ribosomal RNA". It matches the Rfam family "Bacterial small subunit ribosomal RNA", at positions 524 to 776 of the family's 1533-position model. The record is from RNAcentral.
UACGGAGGGGGCAAGCGUUGUUCGGAAUUACUGGGCGUAAAGGGCGCGUAGGCGGCCUGUUGCGUCAGGUGUGAAAUCCCCGGGCUCAACCUGGGAACGGCACUUGAUACGGGCAGGCUGGAAUCCGGGAGAGGAUGGUGGAAUUCCCAGUGUAGAGGUGAAAUUCGUAGAUAUUGGGAAGAACACCGAUGGCGAAGGCAGCCAUCUGGACCGGUAUUGACGCUGAGGCGCGACAGCGUGGGGAGCAAACAGG